Molecule: transfer RNA, 73 nt
Filed under: Mycobacterium hiberniae
Lineage: Bacteria; Bacillati; Actinomycetota; Actinomycetes; Mycobacteriales; Mycobacteriaceae
Also listed under: 4 other names
Description: Mycolicibacter hiberniae tRNA-Val
Rfam family: tRNA
About the family: Transfer RNA (tRNA) molecules are approximately 80 nucleotides in length. Their secondary structure includes four short double-helical elements and three loops (D, anti-codon, and T loops). Further hydrogen bonds mediate the characteristic L-shaped molecular structure. tRNAs have two regions of fundamental functional importance: the anti-codon, which is responsible for specific mRNA codon recognition, and the 3' end, to which the tRNAs corresponding amino acid is attached (by aminoacyl-tRNA synthetases). tRNAs cope with the degeneracy of the genetic code in two manners: having more than one tRNA (with a specific anti-codon) for a particular amino acid; and 'wobble' base-pairing, i.e. permitting non-standard base-pairing at the 3rd anti-codon position.
Source: RNAcentral
GGUCUCGUAGCUCAGGGGGAGAGCGUCCGCCUCACACGCGGAAGGUCGCUGGUUCGAUCCCAGCCGGGACCAC